This 253-nucleotide ribosomal RNA is filed under the name uncultured bacterium. RNAcentral describes it as "partial 16S ribosomal RNA". It matches the Rfam family "Bacterial small subunit ribosomal RNA", at positions 524 to 776 of the family's 1533-position model. The record is from RNAcentral.
UACGAAGGGGGCUAGCGUUGUUCGGAAUCACUGGGCGUAAAGCGCACGUAGGCGGAUUUGUUAGUCGGGGGUGAAAUCCCGGGGCUCAACCCCGGAACUGCCUUUGAUACUGCAAGUCUCGAGUCCGAUAGAGGUGGGUGGAAUUCCUAGUGUAGAGGUGAAAUUCGUAGAUAUUAGGAAGAACACCAGUGGCGAAGGCGGCCCACUGGAUCGGUACUGACGCUGAGGUGCGAAAGCGUGGGGAGCAAACAGG